RNAcentral lists this ribosomal RNA (253 nucleotides) under uncultured bacterium. Its description in RNAcentral is "partial 16S ribosomal RNA". It matches the Rfam family "Bacterial small subunit ribosomal RNA", at positions 524 to 776 of the family's 1533-position model. The record is from RNAcentral.
UACAGAGGGUGCAAGCGUUAAUCGGAAUUACUGGGCGUAAAGCGUGCGUAGACGGUUGCGUAAGUCAGAUGUGAAAGCCCCGGGCUCAACCUGGGAAUUGCAUUUGAGACUGCGUAGCUAGGGUGCGGAAGAGGGAAGCGGAAUUUCCGGUGUAGCGGUGAAAUGCGCAGAUAUCAGGAGGAACACCUAUUGCGAAGGCAGCUCGCUGGGACGUAACUGACGCUGAGACGCGAAAGCGUGGGGAGCAAACAGG